This 3302-nucleotide long non-coding RNA is filed under the name Homo sapiens (human). RNAcentral's name for it is "HSALNT0175127". Lineage: Eukaryota; Metazoa; Chordata; Mammalia; Primates; Hominidae. The record is from RNAcentral.
GUCAUUCUCAAGGAGCUUGGGACUAAUCCCAAAAGAGUAAAGAUGGUGUAAGUGUUACCAUCUUGCUAUGUGCAUGGACAGUGUGCCUCAUCUGGCUCAUGGGAUAUACAAACAUUCAUCCAAUCAAUAAAAAAACUGCAGGAAGCCAGGCACACUGGCUCAUGGAGCUUUCUUUUUUGAUGUAGGAGUUUAUUGCUGUCAACUUUCUUGGAAGGGCUGCUUUUGGUGUAUCCCAUAGGCUUUAGUAUAUUGUGUUUCCAUUUUCAUUUGCUUCAAGAAAUUUUUAAAUGUCCCUUUUAAUUUCUUCACUGACCCAUUGAUUGUUCAGGGGCAUUUGUGACAAAACAAUUAACAAUAGUUACUGUGGGAGAUGGCAAGAUCAGCAUGACCCCUGCUGGGGACCUGCUGUAAGUGACCUGGGGACAGAUCCUAUACCAGGGGCUGUACAAGCAUUUUCUAAUUUAUGUCUCACAGCAAUUUCAUGAAGGAGGUUAUGGCACCAUUUUAAAGAAGAAAAAGAAAUAUGUUAACAAAAUUGCUUAAGAAGUGAUGUUUGUCUCAAGAUAUUUUUUAGUUUCCCUUUUAAUUUCAUCAUCAACCCAUUAGUUAUUCAGGAGCAUGUUGUUUAAUUUCCAUAUAUCUGUGAAUUUUCUUAAGUUCCUCCUGUUAUUUAUUUCUAGUUUGAUGCCAUCAUCAGAAAAGAUACUUGAUAUGAUUUCACACUUCUUAAAUCUGUUAACACUUGUUUUGUGGUCUAACAUAUGAUCUACCUGGAGAAUGUUCCAGGUGCAGUUGAAAAGUGUGUAUUCUACAGCUGUUGGAUGGAAUGUUCUGUAUAUGUCUGAUACAUCCAUUUGGUCUAAACUGUAGUUUAAGUCUGAUGCUUCCUUAUUGAUUUCCUGUCUGGAUCAUUGUCCAUUGCUGGAAGUAAGGUGGUGGAAGUCCUCUACUAUGAAUGCAUUGCAGUCAAUCUGUCCAUUCAGAUCCAUUAAUAUUUGCUUUAUAUAUUUAGGCAUUCCAAUGCUGGGUGCAUAUAUAUUUAUAAUUGUUAAGACCUCUUGAUGAAUUGAUCCCUUUAUCAUUAUAAAAUGAUGUUUGUUGUCUCCAUUAAAAGUUUUGAACUUAAAGUCUAUUUUAUCUGACAUAAGUAUAGCUACUCCUGCCACUCUUUAGAUUUCCAUUAGCAUGGAGUAUCUUUUUCCAUCCCUUCACUUUCAGUCUAGGCAUGUCCUUGCAGGUGAGGUGAGUCUCUUGUAGACAGCAUACUAUUGAGAUCGGUUUUUUUUUUUAACCCAUUCACGCACUCUAUGUCUUUUGAUUGGAGAAUUUAAACCCUUUACUUUCAAGGUUAUUAUUGAUAGGUAAGAACUUACUACUGCCAUUUGGUUGUUUUAUAGACUCUUUGUUCCUUCCGUCCUCUCUUACUAUCUUCCUUUGAGGUUAAGUGAUAUUCUCUAGUAGUAUGUUUUGAUUCCUUGCUUUUUAUUUUUUGUGUAUCUACUAAAGGUUCUUCUUUGUGGUUACCAUGAGGCUUAUAAAAAGAAUCUUAUAGUUAUAACAGGUUAUUUUAUGCUGAUGACAACUUUGAUCACACACACAAAUUGACCUCUACACUUCUAGUCCAUUCCCCACUCAUAUUAUGAAUUGUUUAUGUCACCAUUUACAUCUUUUUAUAUUGCAUAUCCCCCCUGCAAGUUAUUGUAGUUAUUAUUUUUUAAGUAUUAUCUUUUAACUUUCAUAUUAAAGAUAUGUAUGACCAUUACAGUAUUCAUGUAUUCUGAAUUUGACUGUGUAUUUAUUUUACUAGUCUUAUCCUUUCAUAUGUUUUCAAUUAAUCACUAGUGUCCUUUUCUUUCAGCUUAAAAACUCUCUUUAGCAUUUCUUAUAAGACAUGUCUAGUGGUGAUGAACUCCCUCAGCUUUUGUUUCUCUGGUAAAGUCUUUUAUCUUGCCUUCAUUUUUGAUGGCCAGUUCUGCUGGGUAUAGCAAUCUUGGUUGGCAGGUUGUUUUCCCUCAGCAUGGUGAAUAUAUCAUCCCACUCUCUCCUGGCCUGUAAGUUUCUGCUGAGAAGUCUGCUGCUAGCUGAAGUGGAGCUCCCUUACAUGUUAUUUGCUUCUUUUCUCUUUUUGCUUUCCAAAUCCCCAUUGUCUGUGAUGUUUGACAGUGUGAUUAUGUUCUGGAGUAGUCUUGUUUGAAUUGACUCUGAUUGGAGUCAUUUGUCCUUCCUGUACCUGGAUAUUUAUAUCUUUCUCCAGGUUUGGAGAGUUUUCUGCUACUAUUUCUUUAAAUAAGCUUUCUACCUCUUUAUCUUUCUCUUCCCCUAGAUGAACUCCAAUUCAAAUACCACGUCUUUUGAUGCUGUUGCAUAAAUCCUAUAGGCAUUCUUCAUUCCUUUUUAUCCACUUUUUUAUUUUUCCUCCUCUGUAUAUUUUCAAAUAAUCUGUCUUCAAGUUCAAGGAUUAUUUCUUCUACUUGAUCAGUUCUACUCUUGGUGCUCUCUAUUACAUUUUUCAUUUUGUUCAAAGUAUUUUUUAGCUUCAGAAUUUCUGUUUGCUUCUCUGUUAAAUAUCUCAAUCUAGUCACUUAUUGUUUUCCUCAUUUCUUUGAAUUCUUUAUCUGUAUUUUCUUAAAGUUUGCUAGGCUUCCUUAAAACAUGUAUUUUGAAUUCUCUGUCAGACAGUUCAUACAUCUCCCAUCUCUUUAUGGUCAACCACUUGCACUUUAUUUUGUUUCUCUGGUAAUAUCACGUUUCCCUGAUUAUUCUUGAUCCUUGUGACUCUGUGUUGAUGUCUGUAUAUUUGAAGAAGUAGGUUCUUAUUCCAAUCAUUGUAGAUUGGCUUCCUCUGGAAAUGCCCUUCAACAGUAAGCCUGUCCAGUGAUUUCUGGGAAGACCAUCUGGUAUGGUCCCAACCUCUAAGCCCAAAUUUUUGUAACAAUAAUUAACAUAAGCUUGCUAGGAAUUUUUCUUUUUUUUUUUUUUUUUUUUUUUUUUUUUGAGACAGAGUCUCACUCUGUCGGGAGUGCAGUGGCACCAUCUCCACUCACUGCAACCUCUGCCUCCUGGGUUCAAGCAAUUCUCCUGCCUCAGCCUCCCGAGUAGCUGGGAUUACAGGCAUGCAUGACCACACCCGGCUAAUUUUUGUAUUUUUAACAGAGACGGGGUUUUGCCAUGUUGGCCAGGCUGGCCUUGAACUCCUGACCUCAGGUGAUCACCCACCUUAGCCUCCCAAAGUGCUGUGAUUACAGGCAUGAGCCACUGUGCCCAGCCCCUUAGGAAUUUCUAAAAGUUUCUCAUAUUACCCU